AGUGGCAGACGGGUGAGUAACGCGUGGGAACGUGCCCUUCGCUUCGGAAUAGCUCCGGGAAACUGGUGGUAAUACCGUAUACGCCCUCAGGGGGAAAGAUUUAUCGGCGAAAGAUCGGCCCGCGUUGGAUUAGCUAGUUGGUGAGGUAAUGGCUCACAAAGGCGACGAUCCAUAGCUGGUCUGAGAGGAUGAUCAGCCACACUGGGACUGAGACACGGCCCAGACUCCUACGGGAGGCAGCAGUGGGGAAUCUUGCACAAUGGGCGAAAGCCUGAUGCAGCCAUGCCGCGUGAAUGAUGAAGGCCUUAGGGUUGUAAAAUUCUUUCGUCAGGGAUGAUAAUGACCGUACCUGAAGAAGAAGCCCCGGCUAACUUCGUGCCAGCAGCCGCGGUAAUACGAAGGGGGCUAGCGUUGUUCGGAAUUACUGGGCGUAAAGCGCACGUAGGCGGACUUUUAAGUCAGGUGUGAAAUCCCGGGGCUCAACCUCGGAACUGCAUUUGAAACUGGAAGUCUUGAGACCAGGAGAGGUUAGCGGAAUACCGAGUGUAGAGGUGAAAUUCGUAGAUAUUCGGUGGAACACCAGUGGCGAAGGCGGCUAACUGGACUGGUACUGACGCUGAGGUGCGAAAGUGUGGGGAGCAAUCAGGAUUAGAUACCCUGGUAGUCCACACCGUAAACGAUGAGAGCUAGUUGUUGGCA
Molecule: ribosomal RNA, 699 nt
Filed under: uncultured Hyphomonas sp.
Lineage: Bacteria; Pseudomonadati; Pseudomonadota; Alphaproteobacteria; Hyphomonadales; Hyphomonadaceae
Description: bacterial SSU rRNA
Rfam family: Bacterial small subunit ribosomal RNA
Source: RNAcentral